RNAcentral lists this ribosomal RNA (466 nucleotides) under uncultured bacterium. Its description in RNAcentral is "partial 16S ribosomal RNA". It matches the Rfam family "Bacterial small subunit ribosomal RNA", at positions 28 to 507 of the family's 1533-position model. The record is from RNAcentral.
GACGAACGCUGGCGGCGUGCUUAACACAUGCAAGUCGAACGGAAAGGCCCUGCUUGCAGGGUACUCGAGUGGCGAACGGGUGAGUAACACGUGGGUGAUCUGCCCUGCACUUCGGGAUAAGCUUGGGAAACUGGGUCUAAUACCGGAUAGGAGCCAUCUUUAGUGUGGUGGUUGGAAAGUUUUUUCGGUGUAGGAUGAGCUCGCGGCCUAUCAGCUUGUUGGUGGGGUAAUGGCCUACCAAGGCGGCGACGGGUAGCCGGCCUGAGAGGGUGUACGGCCACAUUGGGACUGAGAUACGGGCCAGACUCCUACGGGAGGCAGCAGGGGGGAAUAUUGCACAAUGGGCGCAAGCCUGAUGCAGCGACGCCGCGUGGGGGAUGAAGGCCUUCGGGUUGUAAACUCCUUUCGCUAGGGACGAAGCUUUGUUGUGACGGUACCUAGAUAAGAAGCACCGGCUAACUACGUG